UCUUCCGCAAUGGACGAAAGUCUGACGGAGCAACGCCGCGUGAGUGAUGAAGGUUUUCGGAUCGUAAAACUCUGUUGUUAGGGAAGAACAAGUACUGUUCGAAUAGGGCGGUACCUUGACGGUACCUAACCAGAAAGCCACGGCUAACUACGUUCUAGCAGCCUCGGUAAUACGUAGGUGGCAAGCGUUGUCCGGAAUUAUUGGGCGUAAAGCGCGCGCAGGCGGUUUCUUAAGUCUGAUGUGAAAGCCCCCGGCUCAACCGGGGAGGGUCAUUGGAAACUGGGGAACUUGAGUGUAGAAGAGGAGAGUGGAAUUCCACGUGUAGCGGUGAAAUGCGUAGAGAUGUGGAGGAACACCAGUGGUGAAGGCGACUCUCUGGUCUGUAACUGACGCUGAGGCGCGAAAGCGCGGGGAGCAAACAG
This 422-nucleotide ribosomal RNA is filed under the name uncultured bacterium. RNAcentral's name for it is "bacterial SSU rRNA". It matches the Rfam family "Bacterial small subunit ribosomal RNA", at positions 362 to 775 of the family's 1533-position model. The record is from RNAcentral.